This 543-nucleotide ribosomal RNA is filed under the name uncultured Streptococcus sp. RNAcentral describes it as "bacterial SSU rRNA". It matches the Rfam family "Bacterial small subunit ribosomal RNA", at positions 754 to 1296 of the family's 1533-position model. The record is from RNAcentral. Lineage: Bacteria; Bacillati; Bacillota; Bacilli; Lactobacillales; Streptococcaceae.
CGGCCGCGUCGACGAGCAAACAGGAUUAGAUACCCUGGUAGUCCACGCCGUAAACGAUGAGUGCUAGGUGUUAGGCCCUUUCCGGGGCUUAGUGCCGGAGCUAACGCAAUAAGCACUCCGCCUGGGGAGUACGACCGCAAGGUUGAAACUCAAAGGAAUUGACGGGGGCCCGCACAAGCGGUGGAGCAUGUGGUUUAAUUCGAAGCAACGCGAAGAACCUUACCAGGUCUUGACAUCCCGAUGCUAUUCUUAGAGAUAGGAAGUUACUUCGGUACAUCGGAGACAGGUGGUGCAUGGUUGUCGUCAGCUCGUGUCGUGAGAUGUUGGGUUAAGUCCCGCAACGAGCGCAACCCUUAUUGUUAGUUGCCAUCAUUAAGUUGGGCACUCUAGCGAUACUGCCGGUAAUAAACCGGAGGAAGGUGGGGAUGACGUCAAAUCAUCAUGCCCCUUAUGACCUGGGCUACACACGUGCUACAAUGGUCGGUACAACGAGUUGCGAGCCGGUGACGGCAAGCUAAUCUCUGAAAGCCGAUCUCAGUUCGG